GAUGGGAUCUGUAUCUUUUUCUUAUGUCCUUCUUCUACUCUAUCAUGAAGUUUUGAUACCUACUUUUCUACCCUCCCACAUGAUGUUCUCCAUGGUUUUGUUACUGAUGGGAGUUGGUCUUUCUUUCAAAUGUCCAUUUUACAUCAGGUAGUGGUCCAGCAUACACAGUUCAACCUCGAUGAUGUUUCACAUAUUGUUUGGCAUAUAUUGCAAAUGGGGUAUAUUUUGAAUGCUUUUUGCAGCUUAUUUGAGCCCUAUUGCUGUUUACAUUUCACCCCAAAUGAUGUUUCUUGGCAAAUGGAUACUGAGGGGUUUAAGCAUUCGGAUAACUUGCCUUACAUUAUUGAGGUUGUUGAUUGCAAUGACUUUUUUCUCCCAAAUGAUGUUUAACAGUUUAAUGGAUCCGAUGGGACGGGCCCCUAUACUAUGGUAUCUCGAGUGUGGAAGACAUUAAAUUAUUUGCAUCGAUACAUCUCUAAUAUUUUUUAUAUGCCUUUCACAUUGGUUAAGCUGCAUUUUAUCAUGAAUCGGCACUUUGUUUUUCUACAUAAUUCCUUCAUUCUCCACCUUGUACCUGUUAUCUCUGCUAUUCUGCUUAUUUUCUUCAGAGUUUUACCCGGAUGCUGGGCUGCUCUUGCGUUGGAGUUAGAAAUGAAAUCUAUGGGG
RNAcentral lists this long non-coding RNA (666 nucleotides) under Elaeis guineensis (African oil palm). RNAcentral's name for it is "long non-coding RNA (EGUI_LNC006152)". Lineage: Eukaryota; Viridiplantae; Streptophyta; Magnoliopsida; Arecales; Arecaceae. The record is from RNAcentral.